UGCCCUGGCAGUCAGAGGCGAUGAAGGGCGUGCUAAUCUGCGAUAAGCGCCGGUAAGGUGAUAUGAACCGUUAUAACCGGCGAUACCCGAAUGGGGAAACCCAGUGUGAUUCGUCACACUAUCAUUAACUGAAUCCAUAGGUUAAUGAGGCGAACCGGGGGAACUGAAACAUCUAAGUACCCCGAGGAAAAGAAAUCAACCGAGAUUCCCCCAGUAGCGGCGAGCGAACGGGGAGGAGCCCAGAGCCUGAAUCAGCAUGUGUGUUAGUGGAAGCGUCUGGAAAGGUGCGCGAUACAGGGUGACAGCCCCGUACACAAAAGCGCAUGUGCUGUGAGCUCGAUGAGUAGGGCGGGACACGUGGUAUCCUGUCUGAAUAUGGGGGGACCAUCCUCCAAGGCUAAAUACUCCUGACUGACCGAUAGUGAACCAGUACCGUGAGGGAAAGGCGAAAAGAACCCCGGCGAGGGGAGUGAAAAAGAACCUGAAACCGUGUACGUACAAGCAGUGGGAGCACAGGUUUACCUGUGUGACUGCGUACCUUUUGUAUAAUGGGUCAGCGACUUAUAUUCUGUAGCAAGGUUAACCGUAUAGGGGAGCCGGAGGGAAACCGAGUCUUAAUUGGGCGUUAAGUUGCAGGGUAUAGACCCGAAACCCGGUGAUCUAGCCAUGGGCAGGUUGAAGGUUGGGUAACACUAACUGGAGGACCGAACCGACUAAUGUUGAAAAAUUAGCGGAUGACCUGUGGCUGGGGGUGAAAGGCCAAUCAAACCGGGAGAUAGCUGGUUCUCCCCGAAAGCUAUUUAGGUAGCGCCUCGUGAAUUCAUCUCCGGGGGUAGAGCACUGUUUCGGCUAGGGGGCCAUCCCGGCUUACCAACCCGAUGCAAACUGCGAAUACCGGAGAAUGUUAUCACGGGAGACACACGGCGGGUGCUAACGUCCGUCGUGAAGAGGGAAACAACCCAGACCGCCAGCUAAGGUCCCAAAGUCAUGGUUAAGUGGGAAACGAUGUGGGAAGGCCCAGACAGCCAGGAUGUUGGCUUAGAAGCAGCCAUCAUUUAAAGAAAGCGUAAUAGCUCACUGGUCGAGUCGGCCUGCGCGGAAGAUGUAACGGGGCUAAACCAUGCACCGAAGCUGCGGCAGCGAACGUAUCACCCAAGACAACUUUACGGAGUUGACGAUUGACGGAGCGAAGCGACGUCAAAGCGUUCAUUAAAGUCGAGUUGGCUUAGGGAUACGUUCGUUGGGUAGGGGAGCGUUCUGUAAGCCUGUGAAGGUGUGUCGUGAGGCAUGCUGGAGGUAUCAGAAGUGCGAAUGCUGACAUAAGUAACGAUAAAGCGGGUGAAAAGCCCGCUCGCCGGAAGACCAAGGGUUCCUGUCCAACGUUAAUCGGGGCAGGGUGAGUCGACCCCUAAGGCGAGGCCGAAAGGCGUAGUCGAUGGGAAACGGGUUAAUAUUCCCGUACUUGGUGUUACUGCGAAGGGGGGACGGAGAAGGCUAUGUUGGCCGGGCGACGGUUGUCCCGGUUUAAGCGUGUAGGUGUGUGUUCCAGGUAAAUCCGGUU
RNAcentral lists this ribosomal RNA (1561 nucleotides) under Salmonella enterica subsp. enterica serovar Typhimurium. Its description in RNAcentral is "partial 23S ribosomal RNA". It matches the Rfam family "Bacterial large subunit ribosomal RNA", at positions 29 to 1547 of the family's 2925-position model. Lineage: Bacteria; Pseudomonadati; Pseudomonadota; Gammaproteobacteria; Enterobacterales; Enterobacteriaceae. The record is from RNAcentral.